Molecule: ribosomal RNA, 498 nt
Filed under: uncultured bacterium
Lineage: Bacteria
Description: partial 16S ribosomal RNA
Rfam family: Bacterial small subunit ribosomal RNA
Source: RNAcentral
GACGAACGCUGGCGGCGUGCUUAACACAUGCAAGUCGAACGGGCCCGCUCUCUUUUUUGGGGGUGGGUUGAGUGGCGAACGGGUGAGUAUCACGUGAGUAACCUGCCCCCUGCUCCUGGAUAACUGCUUGAAAGGGCGGCUAAUACGGGGUGUGCCGGCUGGUCCGCAUGGCCUGGGCGGGGUAGGUUCAUUUUCGGGUGGUUUGGGGGGGGGUGGGCUCGCCGGCUAUUAGCUUGUUGGUGGGGGGAUGGCCCACCAAGGCGGUGACGGGUAGCCGGCCUGAGAGGGUGGGCGGCCACACUGGGACUGAGACACGGCCCAGACUCCUGCGGGAGGCAGCAGUGGGGGGUAUUGCACAAUGGGCGGAAGCCUGAGGCAGCGACGUCGCGUGAGGGAUGGAGGCCUUCGGGUUGUGAACCUCUUUCUCCGGUGGUGAAGGCCCUGUCCGUUGCGGCGGGGUUGACGGUAGCCGGGUAUGAAGCGCCGGCUAACUACGUG